CGUGAUCCGCCCACCUCAGCCUCCCAAAGUGCUGGGAUUACAGGCGUGAGCCACCGCACCUGGCCAAGAAGCAUUUUCUAAACUAAUCUUCUCCUACAAAUAGCCCCUGGACCUUGAGGAUCAUAAAUGGUCAUCAUUUAACAUUUUUUUCUGCUAGAAGUAUUGAGCCUCUUUGUUGUAUUGAGACCAAAAGAAGAUCUGUCACCCCCCUCCACUCCCCUACAGAUGUACAUACAACUUUCGGCAAUCUCAGAGAGUUUGAAGCUACAAUUCUAUUACAAACGACGUGCUACAAGUAUGCUUUUAAAAUAAAUUAUUUUUCCAGUUUUUUCACUUUAACCUCUGCCCCAGUGGUCGUAAAAACAGAGGCAUGGAGACUGAGUUCUUUUCUGUGGACCAUUAUGCAUCUAUCUUUUCCAAUAGUUUCCUUUGCCUCUGCUCUUUUUUGCUGUACAAAGACAGAAAUUUCUAAACAGAGCCUUUAAUAGUCCAUUACUUUUUACCCAUGUUAUGCAAUGUAGCUUUAAAGACGAACUUUUCCAGCAAACUGCUGCUUGUGUGAAUGCCUGUUUGGGAGUGAGACUUCCCUACUGGAAAAAUAACUAACACACACUACACCAUAGUUACGAUUACAUCACAAUAAAUAUUCUAUGCAGGACUAGGAACAGUUCCUCAAAGAAAAAUGCUUGGGGAACGGGUAAUUGGAAUGAACUACAAGCAUUUUCACUGAGCUCAAAGAAACUGCAAGAAAAAAGAUCUUCGAUCUGCAUCCAAGUAUUUUUUUUGUCUGAAAGAACACUGUGUGAGGAAUUUUGACAUUCUCUGCAUUCUAAUGAAAAUGACUUGGAAAGUAGAGGCUUCUCUAUACAUUUGCCUCAUUGCCGCCACGAUGGGCACCGUUUAUCAGGAAUAAAGAGAGAAGAUCAAGAAAGUAGUUCUUUUCUGGAGAAUUUUGUGCUCUGGCUCUUAAGUACUUUUGCUUUGCCAUGAAUGUGAAUAUUUUAAAGGCCAAAAAAGCCCCCUCCAUUUGAGUUGCAGAUGGCCACAGGAACCCAACAAGAAUGCUAACAACUCAUUUUAAAAAGGGAAAAAGAAAGGAAGUGCCAAGUUCCACACUGCAUAUCCAUACUGAUGUUGAGCCCAUCUUGGCCUAGCUGGUAGAACUGAAAAUUGAGAAUAAUAUUAAGGGGCUGCAAUGAUCCCUAAGGGUAAAAAUAAAUGUGUUUCUGAAAACAACAGCCACAUCCACAAUGAAAUAGACAUGAAACAAGAUAACCCAAGAACACAUUUGUUUUCCUUGUAACAGGGAUGCGUUAAGUUCAUUAUUCAGAGGACUUUGAUUACCCUUUUCAAAGAUUUUUGGGUGACAGUGAUCCAGGAUGAAGGUCCUUUGACUAUACAUUUCAGCGUUCAAUUGAGGUAAAAUAAUGGUGAUUUUCGGGAAAGAAAAAUUAUCCCUGUCCUUUUUCCAGGGGUCCCUGGAGGUACUUUGUUGAAUUUUUCUAAUCUUGUGCAUGGACUUCUCAAAAGCUGAUCUGGCAGACAAUCACAGUUGGCCACUCAGUCACUACCCUUACAGCUACUAGCGGCCAUGAGACAGUGAUCUGACCCAUGAAAUGUAAAGAGAAUUUCUGGGGGGACUUUGGAAACUCUUUUGCGUUCUCAUUAAAAGGCAAAGCUUAAGACACAAGCUCUUUGGUGCCAUCCCUUCCCUUGAACCUGAAUACAGUGAUCAUCUUGUGAUCAAGAGGCAAGAAACCUGAGGACAAAAAGCCAACAUGCUUAGGGAAGUAAGAAGAAAAAUGGAGAAAUUUUGAGUUUUUGAUGACAUCACUGGGCUGUAGGAGCAACCCCAAGAUCACCUAUGUAGACUAUCUUGUUACAUAAACAAGAAAUGCCUUUAUGGUUUAUGUCCCUGCUACUUGCAGCCAAAAACAUUCUUAUGUGAUACAGGAAGCAAGGUCUAGGGUGGAGGCAAGAACAGAAAGGACGGGGGCAGCAGUAAUGGCUGGUAAAUUCUGUUAGGAAGUGUUGCCCCAGAGACUAAUGAAGGGAUGGAAAAUGCUGCUUGAUGCCUAGGAGCUGUUGCAGCCAUAGCUGCCUUGGCCUUCCACCUGAGGAUGAUGCCAGGUUUUGUCAAUAUCAUGACAGUGAUAUUAAUGAUAUUCAACAAAGGGGGCAAGAAUACAAGCAAUUAGUUGAAUUCUUAGAGCUCAGUGAAAGAGUGUAAGGGCAAAGCAGACAGCAGGAGAGUAAAAACGAAGUUUGUUUGCUUCCCUUUGUGGUUUAAUUUGCCCAAACUGAAUGGUUUAGAAGUAUAUCCCUCAGCUGAAAGUCUAACUGCCUGUGUCUUGUGGAACAUACCUGUAUUUGUAACUUGCAUCUUCUGUGUGGGUGAGGACCAGGGGGCAUAAAACCAUGUGGGGGGAUUUUCCUUCUUCCCAAGGGAGAGCUGAUGACCAAGGCUGAAUUCCAAGGUAGCAGAGUUCCAGCUGAGGACUGGCCAGUGGUAACCUGGACCCCAGCUUCCUCAACCACCAUAUAAGCUGGUGUUGUAGAGGUGUGUGUGUGUGUGUGUGUUUCUUGAAAACACUCCUAUUCAAAGCAAAGCCAGGUCAGCCUUAAAAGCAAGCUGACAAAAAGAACUAUAAAACCAGGGGUGGAUUACAUUUCAGAGUGGUUCCUUAAAUUACAACUAUCACUAACAGGCAUUAGUCAGCUAUUUCUAGUUUAACUAAAAAGUAAAAGGUAUAUUCAACUUGUCUUUAUUCUAUUUUUCUUCUUAUGCUAAACAUUUAAGCUCCUUCAUUUCUGCUAUAAUAUUUUGAAAUGGUGAUAAAUCUGUUUUAGCUUGAAACUUGGUUUCUUCAAUAUACGCAGUCAGCAAAUAGUUAUUGCGUGUCUCCAUACCAGUGAGUGUGUGUGUCUGUGUAAGACAGAGGGAAGGUGAGGUAGAGAGAGAAAGAGAGAGAGAGCAUGAGAGAGUGUGCGUGAGAGAGAGCCAACAGCAUCCUUUCAGGAUCUUGUACAUAGAAAUGAAAGCCGUGAAUGAAGCUGUAGUUCAAUUUGAUUAGGAAAAUGCACUCUAAAAUACUGAGAGGAUGUGAUGCCAGGCAAACUGAGCUGCUGGCUGGAGAACACUGAACAAAGAUGAAAUUGUUUCUGGAUCUUAACUCACUCUUAUGCAGAAUGUCUCCUGACUUGCUUUAUCCCUCUUUCCCUUGCAGCAGUCAGUGACAGGCUGGGUGGAAAGUUGUCCUUCCUCUCAGAGAAUGUUAACUCAUCAGCCUCCAGGUGUGGCUCCGGCCUAUUGGCUGCCUUUCCCUUUGAAGGCACAGACACUCUUGAGAGAAUCUUGAGCUGGCUUUGGAGCUGGGACCCCUUUGCACUCCCACUUUGGAUGUCUUCACUGGGUGGCAGACUAGUCAACCCGCUAGGCUCUAGCUAUUUCUGAAUAGGUUCUUUGAAGUUACUGGAGACCCAAGUGGUUUGCUACAUUUUGCAUAAGUAAUAGAACAGUGCAUAAACCCCCUUGCCCAGCAUCACUUAAUACACCUGCUUCUGCUGAUGCUCUUUGAAGAUGCCUCCGUGGAGGGCAUUGCAAACUGCUCUGCACAUUCAUAUUCAACCCGUGUGCAGUAUGCAUGGACCACUGCAGGCUGAGAGCCGCGUGCCUGGCGCGGCCCGCCUCUAGCACUGUCUCCAGUCAUUCCACUGUGCUCACAAAGAAGUCCAAGAAAUAGAAAAACAUAAAAAGCUAUUGUCCAUGUCCAGUGAGAAAUGAAAUGCACUGGACCGCGUAUCACAACUUCCUUAAAAUAAUACAACUUUAUCACUUUUGCAUCUGAUCCUGCUCAUGGUUUGCAAAGUCAUAAACCCCUUGAAAUCAAUAGCUUGAGCCAUCGCUGCUCUAUUCUAUUUAAACACAUCCUCUAAAGAAGCAAUUUAUUACGAACUCUCUAUGGUUUCACCUUAUCUAAAACACUUAAUUCAGUCCAUCUCCUGCUUUGCUUUGUAGUGUUGGAAGCAAUCAGAAGACUGGAAGCAAUUUACUAAUAAGAGAACAUGCCCUACAGCUCUGGCCUGUGAAAAGAGUUUCAGAAUCACGAUGUAGCCACAAGUCAAAUUCUAGAAAGAAUUAAUGGCACAUCUCAUAGUUCUUUCAUUUGCUGGCUGAUUCAUUCCAGAGUGGUUUUGAGGACAGAAUGAAGCAAGAUGAAAAACAGCACUUUGAAAAUGGAGUGUGUGGUAUUCAUCUUAGAUACACUUUUAGAGAAGAAGAAAUGUGUCUCAGAAAAAGGACCUCUUCUGACUCAAAUUUAGCUUACAUCCCCUUCUCAACCAUAUCCCAGGUGAUAAAAUAUGACACCCAGCAGAAAUUCCAUCCAAACACAGGAAAGAAGCAGGCCCGGGGGCUUGGAGAUGAUACUUGUCCAGAAAUCCCAUGAUUAUUUUGCUAUAGCAGACGAUGACCUUCUCAAAGGAAGCCUAUCAAACGCUCAAGAUAAAUAAUGAGAAGGUCUCUCUCUCCUGCCUCCAGGAAAAAACUGCACAGAGGAAAAAUGUUUGCUAAACCAUUAAUAUGUUCAUCCCAGGAUGGGAAGCAGCUUGGUCUAAAAGAAACAGAGUGGCACAUGUGUUUGUGUGUGACCAGUGGCCCCAUUCAACAGGACUCCUGGGGCAGCAUCCAUGGAGGGGCCUCAGGAGACACACCUAAGCCCUUUACCCAGUAACGUCGGAAAUGAAUGUUUCUCUGGUGGCAGACAGGGUACCUUCUAAACCUCUUGACUCAUGAGCAAAUUAACUCAAGGUAAGGAAGCACUGGGUAAUGCCGUCUCUCAACAACCUAGAAAAAACAUGGUUCUGCUUUACUAGGCCCUGGAACUACAAUUAAUGGUAAUGAAUUCCCUCUUCCCUCACAUUCCCACCUUCCCACCAGGCAGCAAAUACUCAGGUGGCAAAAGAAGCUUUCUGUCUGUUUUUCUCCCCAUGGAAGCAAGGUUUCGCAGAGUAGGUAGAGAGCUGCAGUAGAAAUUGCAACUUUCCCAUGAUUUAAGUGCUUUGGCUGCCCUGGAGAAUGGGGCUGAUUUCUCAGGGCAAAAGUCAACUCUCCAUCCAUUUAUGGCUCUUGUCCAAUCUAUGGACAGCUGAAGACACAGAUCUUAACUCCAGGAGUUGGUGUAAGAUCCUUCCCAGCAGUGAAAUGGAAAGAGUUUUCAAAGACAUAGGGUCCUCUAUGGGAAGAGGUGGGAGAGUCAGGAGGUGAGGAAGAAAAUUUUCUAUUCCAAGGCAAGCUCAGGAAUCAAUGGGCUGAACCAAGUAGUACCCAAUGGCUGGGUAGGGGCAAGGGUAAAAAAGCAAUCUCAAAAGUAAUCAGGAUUCAAAUGAUCCAGGGAUUUGCAGAUAAAAUUAAAACUGCUCAGCAACACUUCAGGAGAAAAAGUCAGUAGCAUGCAGAUAGUUAUCAAGCACAUUAUUUUGCCAGCCAGCUGAGGAUGGCAGCAAGCUAAAUUUUGAGUCCAGAAAGGUGGUUAGGGUUUCUGUGCUCUGGAUUGUACAUCUUCCUCUCUCUAACUUGUUCUCCCCACCUUUUAGGAUGGCCAACACCCUCUUAUCACUUGAGACUCAGAAGAAGGGAAAUCUCCUCUGAAUUCUUUUCUGACCAGGGGCCCUGAUGACUGCCCCUUGUUGUCCCUUCAUCCCUGUGUGGACCAUUCUCAUGGCAUGGUGGGUAUUUACUGUGUAUAUCGGUUGCCAUAGCUCAGUCUCCCUUGUAGGGACUGAACCUAUUUAUCUUCACAUCUCUUGUGGCCAGAACACACCUGGCAUAUAGGUGGUCCAUAAAUGCUAGUGGAAUAAAAGGAGGAUGCUAAUUAUGUUUAUUUACUGGUCAUCCUUUUCCCCCCUAUCACUUUAACUUUCACCUCUCUAAUGCCCUUUAAUGUCCUUGAAAGCGAUUGAAUUCCUAAGACAAGCUGCCAUACUUUCUGGUGGAGAAUACACAUUUAUUUCCUGAAGGGUAGUUAAUGUCUAAUCACCCAGAAGACAUUUAGGUUUCUUUUAUUUAGAAAGCGGAGAUAAUAACUCCCCCAGUAAGUAAACAGGAAAAUAGACUUUGUUCUUCAAAAAAAAUUUGAUUAACAUAGUUUCAAGGAACAUUUCUACUGUUGUAAACCAAGGUUCUUGAAAUAAUCAACAACAUUACAGAUUGCAAGGUUAGAGAUUAAAACAUGCAAAAUAAGUGGAAUCAUACCAUUUAGCAAUGGAAAGACAGACUAUGUCGGUGAGGUGUUUUAAAUACCCAAACAGUUUUAUGACAAAAAAAAUCCUCACUAUAAACAAAAUGAAUUAGGGAUUUGCCUUGGAAUGAAGGUUUAAAAAUAAUGGGAUGAGUUUAAAGAAUACUGCAGGCCCUUAAAGACGAUGAGAGAUUUUGAGAGGCCUGAGUGACUUCAGUGGGGUCCAUCCCUAAAAUAAUGAAGGACUAAGUAAGUCAAACCUUAGGGUCGCCUCUGCAGAUCUUUAGCCUGGCCUGUGCAAUUGUAUUGCACAGAGGAAUACAAUAUGGCAGGAACAGACCAAUGUAACAGGUAGCAAUUGUUCACGCACCAGAUCUGGCACCAGCUACCAGAGGGAGGGUGAAAGAGGGGAAAAUUAUCUUUUCUUCAACUCUGUGAAGACUUAGAGUUUCAGAUAGUUAAAUGUGAGUGGGCUGGUGUUUCCUCUUUGCUAGAUUUAGUGUGUGCGGUUUCUCUGCCAUGUAUAUCUAUAGUUCUCUAAAGUGACUGGAGAAAUACUUUUCCUUAAAUCAGUGGUAAAGAAGUUACUGGCAAAAUGUCCCUUAAAUAUUCCUGUUGGGUGCUACCAAAGGAUUAUUUAAAAUCAUGAAAAUAAUCCAAAAGCUGCUCCCACUGGAAAAUGACUAGGAGAAAGAUGUUUAAAUUCAAAACUGCUAAGCACGGACACCUACCUAAACACACACACACACACACACACACACACACACACACACACACACCCUUCCUCUGAAGCUUUCCAGGGAUAGCUAUAGAAAUUUCAUUUUAAGCAAGGGAAAAAAAAAUAGAAUCACCCCCUCACAAAAAUGUUUGAGUAUAUUUUGGUCUCUUGGUCAGGGCCAAUAAAGAUCUCUUGUUGUGAGCCAACUAGAACAGAAAUGGAGUGAGAGAUGUACUACUUUAUGUGGUCUGAAUGUGAUUAGCGAUUAGCGCUGGUGGCUUCAGUCACUUGGGAAUGGCAAUCAGGGUUUUGCUCCUGCAACUCUGAACGACUACAAAACACCCUUGGCUUCCAUCCCAUAUGAUGAUGGGAUAUUAACUGAAAAUCUAAUUAAUCUGUGAAUGAAUUAUGGCCUAAGAAAUAUACCAUUUUAUAAUCAAUUUUAAGCGAGUCCCUAACAGAAGAUAAGAUGAAGAAAAAGCUGUAAAAUUGUAAGAGGUUGGUACAUUCUGUUCACUAUGACUGAUGAUUUUAAGGGGGAUAAUUUUACAAUCCAUCACAUUUUUGUCAUUUUAAAAAUCAUGCCUCCCAAUGAAUGUUGUAAAUUAACUUUAGAAUUUACAUAUUUAUUAAAAAUUGUAUAGAAAACAGCAGGAACUGUGCCCCAUUUGAAUAAUAAAAUAACUUGUUAUUCCACUGAAGACAAAAACACACAAAAAAAUCAAAAGAUUUUAUUUUCAGGUAAUAAUCAUAUUAAUUGCUAUCUGAAUUAGUUAAACCAAGAAUUAAUAUUCACCAGAGGCAGUGACACAGCAUUAAAGAUAAUCCUCCAAAUUCCCAUUUUCAAACAUGUCUCAGAACAUGUAAAAGCAAGGGAAAGACAAAUGGGGAGGUGAGGACCAUGUUCUUAGCCUGCGGGGUUGGGCAGCAGCAGAUGUUUGAAGCUGAGCUACAUCACCUGGGGGAAGGGGAGGUGCAGACAGCAAAACACAUGAUUUGGCUCUGAGAUGAAGAAGCACAGGACUUCAUUUUAAAAGCCUCUUUGCUUGUGAGGCUGAGGUGGGCAGAUCGUUUCAGACCAGGAGUUCGAGAUCACCCUGGGCAACACGGUGAGACUCUAUCUCUACAAAAAAUACAAAAAUUAGCUGAGUGUGGUGGCAGGCACCUGUGGUCCCACCUACUUGGGAGGCAGAGGUGGGAGGAUUGAUCAAGCCCAGGAGAUUGAGGCUACAGUGAGCCGUGAUGGCACCACUGUACUCUAGCCUGCGUGGUGGAAUGAGACACCAACUCAAAAAAAAAAAAAAAAAAAAGCCUCUUUCCAAAAAGAUUCUCUACUCUACUUCUCCUACUUUGGUUGAACUCCCUACCCAGAAUGGAAGGUUUGCUGGAGGCAACAGAACAUCCCAGAUGACUCCAGAGCAUGCAGGGAAAUAACCAGAAGGGCAUGGAACCAUGCCACAUAACAUGUGGGUGAAUACAACCAUUCACUCUAGAUUAACCUCAUAAUGGACUGUCAACUCAAAGAACUGGCUCCAAGAUAGGAACUGCAUGGAUUCAUCCACAGAAGGAUGAAGGGGUCAAGGGGAAUAGAACUGGUGUGUUACCACAUGUACUCACUAGUAAGAGUAACCCAUUGGGCUGAACUGACACAAGAUGUUCUCUUGAAAUUCCUGAGAGAUGAGGGAGAAGGAUAAUGCAGUACAUGUUUUUCAUGAACUUCAGUUUAAUCAUGAUUCCUUCUUUCCAUGAGGGAUUCAUGAUAGGCUGUUACCACUAUUUUUAAGAAAAGAGCAGAGAUCCUUCAUGAAGUACUGUAGUUGAGUGUGAGGCUUGGCUCACACUGCCUCUGCUACUCAGAGUUCAUUGCUUCAGUGCAGACAUGGCUAAUACCUGGCACUUGUGCGGCAACCAACUCCUCUCAUGCCCACAGCAGGCAUUGCUUAUCAGUCUCUGUCAUCUGUCAUCUGUCAUCCCAAGCAUGGAUAGGGCCUCAGAAUCCUUCUUAACACCACAAUUCAGGCAACCUCUGUCUAUUGAUUGUCCUUGGCAUUUGAGAUGAAAGCUAUCUUGCAUCCUUGUGUGUGUGUGUGUGUAUUUAUACAUGGGAAAUAUUUAUAUAUUAUCAGCAUAUAAUUAAAUCUAGCUAGCUAUAUAUUACAUCUAUAUACAGAGAUCCAAAUACCUAUAUUAUAUCUAACUGUCUGCUAAUGGUGUAGUCAUAUUCCUUAGUAUCUGCAGCUAAUAUGAGAUAUAGAUUGAUAUCUUAGUAUAUGAAAACUUGAAGUCACCUUUGACUCUUCUCUUUGUCUCAUACUCCACAUCUACCAGUCUUCUGGUAAAUUGCCUGUUUGUUCUCAGAAACAGCAAGUCCUUGAAUAAUAUCCUUUUGUUCAAUGUUAUUUUUUUAUAACAUUGAUGAGAAAAAAAAAUCAAUUCCUGCCAGGCCACUGUCUGUGUGGAGUUGGUAUGUCUCCCCAUGUCUGUGUGGGUUUUCUCCAGGGACUUCAGGUUCCUCUCACAUCCCAAGGCUAUGCGUGAGAGAUAAAUUGGUGUGUCUACAUGGUCCCAGCAUCAGUGAGCAUAAGUGUUCUGCAAAGGAACUGUGUCCUGUCCAGGGCUGGUUCCUGCUUUGUGUCCUAACUGCUGGGAUAGAUUCCAGCCACCUGCAACCCUGAGCUGGAAUAAUUGGGAAAAUAAUGGACUUACUUGUUUUUAUUCACCUUUCUUAAGUACGUGUACAGUUCACAUGUGUUUCAAUGUUUAAUAUUAGAAGUGUUCUGGUCUCUGUUUAGAAGUUUAGUAAUGUUUCUGUGACCAGGAAUAUGCCCUAGGAACUCAGCUCUUGCUUGUAUCAAUUAGCCUCGGAUAAAGUUGGUUUCUUUAUAUGUUGUUUUGCCUAAAGUCACAGCUUCUGAGAACCUACAACUUUAAGCAAGGACUUACUGUGCAUUCUUCUCCUUUCCCCUGCUCCACUCUGCACCAUAGGAACUACAUUUUCCAGGCUCCCUUUAUUUCUGGCUUCUGGGAAGGUUCAGCCAAUGGGAAGCAAUAGCAGAAGGCAGAAGCCUGGACAGUAAGAGGAGGGGGGGAAACAAGGCAUUUCUCCCCUUCUCUGUGUCCUGUGCUGUUCCUAGCAGCACCCACUUCUCCCUCACUGCUCUAACUUCCACCAUGUGCCCCUUCCCAUCCAUGGUUUUAGCUUCCAUUGGACAGUCCAGCUUCUAGACUCUAAUGUCACUCUGCCAUUUCCCUCCAUCCUUAAAGAGGGUGGUGACUUCCUGCUCUGCUAAUUUCUAGAUCAUGACUGUCUCCUGUUGAGUAUCUCAGCUAUUCCAUUAUUUGGAUAAGCCGUUUACUGUAUUGAAUUCCCUCUACUGAAAGGCCUAAAAUAGUUCCCAUUCCAUGCUAGGCCCUGACCAAUACAAUCAGGAAAUUCUGUUUGUGCAACUUUAAUCCAGUCAUUCUUCACCAUUUGUUUUUUGCUACCAUCAGCUCUUGCCUAGAUGACCACAUUAGUUUCCCAACUGUGCUUCCACUCUCUCCUCCUGAUAGCCUGUUCUUCAUACAAAAGCCAAGGCAUCCCUUAGAAACUGUAAAUCAGGUCAUCCCACUCCCCUGUUAAAACUCCUCAGAUGGUUUCCCUUUGCUGACAAUGAAUCCUAAAAUUCUCCCCACAGCCUAUAAGGUCCGAUAUAAGUGGCUCCUAGAUUCUUCUCCACACUAUUUCUCUUCCUCUCUGUGGUUCUGCUCCAGCCAUAAUGGUCCAGGGACACGUCACACAUACCCCUCCUUCAGGGCCUUUGCACUUGCUAUACCCGCUACCUAACAUGUUCCUCUUUCGAUUAGUCACGUUUCAGUGUUUCACUUCAUUCAAACCUGACAGAGCAAGAGAAUCACCAUCUUGGACAAGCACCGCCAUUUUAAAAUGCCCCUUGAUCAAAAACCACCUAAAUCCAAAGGGCAUCAGCCUAAUGGCUAAGAUCAGCAUGACCAUAAAUCACAAAUGACAUCUCCGACCAGAAACAUUCCAACAAUAAGAUAAACCCCUCCCUGACUGGAGGGAUGUCAGCCCCAAGAUAGCCUCUCCUCCAACCACAGACAUUCCCACCCUGCAAUAAACUUCUCCCCGCCACAGAAAUAUUCCAAGCCCGUGAUAAGUUCUCUCACCCUGAACCCUUAAAUACUAUUAGUCUGUAAGAGAGAGCACUCUUGACAAAAAUUGGCCAGAAGCCCCUGUCAGGUUUAUUCUCCAAAAUAAACCUGUCUUUGACCUUUCAGCUGCUUUUCAUGUUUCUUUCCUUUCUUUACCUCUUACAAAACCUCUGUUCAAAUGUCCCUUCUUCAGAAAGGCCUUUCCCAAUCAGUCACUCUGAAGCCAUGCCCUCAUUAUAUCCCAUCUAUGAAGCCUGCUUGAUUUUAUUUUAUUUUAUUUUAUUUUAUUU
This 11399-nucleotide long non-coding RNA is filed under the name Homo sapiens (human). RNAcentral's name for it is "HSALNT0305921". The record is from RNAcentral. Lineage: Eukaryota; Metazoa; Chordata; Mammalia; Primates; Hominidae.